GGGAGGGGAGGGGAGAGAGUAAGAGAAAAGAGAGGGGAGAAAAAGUGUCAGAGGGGGAAGAGAACACAGGUUCAUUAUGUCCUACUCCUAACAUUUAAACACAGGUUCAUCAUGUCCUACUCCUAACAUUUAAACACAGGUUCAUCAUGUCCUACUCCUAACAUUUAAACACAGGUUCAUCAUGUCCUACUCCUAACAUUUAAACACAGGUUCAUCAUGUCCUACUCCUAACAUUUAAACACAGGUUCAUCAUGUCCUACUCCUAACAUUUAAACACAGGUUCAUCAUGUCCUACUCCUAACAUUUAAACACAGCUUCAUCAUGUCCUACUCCUAACAUUUAAACACAGGUUCAUCAUGUCCUACUCCUAACAUUUAAACACAGGUUCAUCAUGUCCUACUCCUAACAUUUAAACACAGCUUCAUCAUGUCCUACUCCUAACAUUUAAACACAGGUUCAUCAUGUCCUACUCCUAACAUUUAAACACAGGUUCAUCAUGUCCUACUCCUAACAUUUAAACACAGGUUCAUCAUGUCCUACUCCUAACAUUUAAACACAGGUUCAUCAUGUCCUACUCCUAACAUUUAAACACAGGUUCAUCAUGUCCUACUCCUAACAUUUAAACACAGCUUCAUCAUGUCCUACUCCUAACAUUUAAACACAGCUUCAUCAUGUCCUACUCCUAACAUUUAAACACAGGUUCAUCAUGUCCUACUCCUAACAUUUAAACACAGCUUCAUCAUGUCCUACUCCUAACAUUUAAACACAGCUUCAUCAUGUCCUACUCCUAACAUUUAAACACAGGUUCAUCAUGUCCUACUCCUAACAUUUAAACACAGAUUCAUCAUGUCCUACUCCUAACAUUUAAACACAGCUUCAUCAUGUCCUACUCCUAACAUUUAAACACAGGUUCAUCAUGUCCUACUCCUAACAUUUAAACACAGGUUCAUCAUGUCCUACUCCUAACAUUUAAACACAGGUUCAUCAUGUCCUACUCCUAACAUUUAAACACAGGUUCAUCAUGUCCUACUCCUAACAUUUAAACACAGGUUCAUCAUGUCCUACUCCUAACAUUUAAACACAGGUUCAUCAUGUCCUACUCCUAACAUUUAAACACAGGUUCAUCAUGUCCUACUCCUAACAUUUAAACACAGGUUCAUCAUGUCCUACUCCUAACAUUUAAACACAGGUUCAUCAUGUCCUACUCCUAACAUUUAAACACAGGUUCAUCAUGUCCUACUCCUAACAUUUAAACACAGCUUCAUCAUGUCCUACUCCUAACAUUUAAACACAGGUUCAUCAUGUCCUACUCCUAACAUUUAAACACAGGUUCAUCAUGUCCUACUCCUAACAUUUAAACACAGGUUCAUCAUGUCCUACUCCUAACAUUUAAACACAGGUUCAUCAUGUCCUACUCCUAACAUUUAAACACAGGUUCAUCAUGUCCUACUCCUAACAUUUAAACACAGGUUCAUCAUGUCCUACUCCUAACAUUUAAACACAGGUUCAUCAUGUCCUACUCCUAACAUUUAAACACAGCUUCAUCAUGUCCUACUCCUAACAUUUAAACACAGGUUCAUCAUGUCCUACUCCUAACAUUUAAACACAGCUUCAUCAUGUCCUACUCCUAACAUUUAAACACAGCUUCAUCAUGUCCUACUCCUAACAUUUAAACACAGGUUCAUCAUGUCCUACUCCUAACAUUUAAACACAGCUUCAUCAUGUCCUACUCCUAACAUUUAAACACAGCUUCAUCAUGUCCUACUCCUAACAUUUAAACACAGGUUCAUCAUGUCCUACUCCUAACAUUUAAACACAGGUUCAUCAUGUCCUACUCCUAACAUUUAAACACAGGUUCAUCAUGUCCUACUCCUAACAUUUAAACACAGGUUCAUCAUGUCCUACUCCUAACAUUUAAACACAGGUUCAUCAUGUCCUACUCCUAACAUUUAAACACAGGUUCAUCAUGUCCUACUCCUAACAUUUAAACACAGGUUCAUCAUGUCCUACUCCUAACAUUUAAACACAGGUUCAUCAUGUCCUACUCCUAACAUUUAAACACAGGUUCAUCAUGUCCUACUCCUAACAUUUAAACACAGGUUCAUCAUGUCCUACUCCUAACAUUUAAACACAGGUUCAUCAUGUCCUACUCCUAACAUUUAAACACAGGUUCAUCAUGUCCUACUCCUAACAUUUAAACACAGGUUCAUCAUGUCCUACUCCUAACAUUUAAACACAGGUUCAUCAUGUCCUACUCCUAACAUUUAAACACAGCUUCAUCAUGUCCUACUCCUAACAUUUAAACACAGCUUCAUCAUGUCCUACUCCUAACAUUUAAACACAGGUUCAUCAUGUCCUACUCCUAACAUUUAAACACAGGUUCAUCAUGUCCUACUCCUAACAUUUAAACACAGGUUCAUCAUGUCCUACUCCUAACAUUUAAACACAGGUUCAUCAUGUCCUUAAACACUUCAUCGGAGUGUUUCUGUAUGCUUGUUUCUCCCUCAGCUGCAGUGGUGAAGCCAAUGAGAUAAAAGAUCACACACACAUCCCAUAUCUCAUGUCAUCUCAGAAGAGAAAAAGCAAACUGGAUGGAGAGAAUGAGACAAAGAGAGAAAGAGAGAGAGGUAGUCCACUCAGCACUCCCAUCAGUGGAGUAUAAGUCUCUGUGCAUCAGGCUGCAGCUGGCCUCUACAGCCU
Molecule: long non-coding RNA, 2700 nt
Organism: Oncorhynchus keta (chum salmon)
Lineage: Eukaryota; Metazoa; Chordata; Actinopteri; Salmoniformes; Salmonidae
Exons: 3
Source: RefSeq, a predicted model, not a curated record